UACAGGGGGGGCAAGCGUUGUUCGGAAUUACUGGGCGUAAAGGGCCAGUAGGCGGCCAACUAAGUCACACGUGAAAUCCCCAGGCUUAACCUGGGAACUGCGUGUGAUACUGGAUGGCUUGAAUUCGGGAGAGGGAUGCAGAAUUCCAGGUGUAGCGGUGAAAUGCGUAGAUAUCAGUCGGAACACCGGUGGCGAAGGCGGCUUCUUGGGCCAUUUCUGACGCUGAGGCGCGAAAGCUAGGGGAGCGAACGGG
This 253-nucleotide ribosomal RNA is filed under the name uncultured bacterium. RNAcentral's name for it is "partial 16S ribosomal RNA". It matches the Rfam family "Bacterial small subunit ribosomal RNA", at positions 524 to 776 of the family's 1533-position model. The record is from RNAcentral.